This 519-nucleotide ribosomal RNA is filed under the name uncultured eukaryote. Its description in RNAcentral is "SSU rRNA". It matches the Rfam family "Eukaryotic small subunit ribosomal RNA", at positions 1160 to 1704 of the family's 1831-position model. The record is from RNAcentral.
AAGGGCACCACCAGGAGUGGAGCCUGCGGCUUAAUUUGACUCAACACGGGAAACUCACCCGGCCCGGACACCGUAAGGAUUGACAGAUUGAGAGCUCUUUCUUGAUUCGGUGGUUGGUGGUGCAUGGCCGUUCUUAGUUGGUGGAGCGAUUUGUCUGGUUUAUUCCGAUAACGAACGAGACUCUGGCCUACUAAAUAGUGACAGGAUUAUUACUGUCUUGGAUACUUCUUAGAGGGACAAGUGGUUUUCAGCCACACGAAAUUGAGCAAUAACAGGUCUGUGAUGCCCUUAGAUGUCCGGGGCUGCACGCGCGCUACACUGAAGGAAUCAGCGUGCUGAAACCAUUGUCGAAAGGCAUUGGUAAACCCAUUAAAAUCCUACGUGAUUGGGAUCGGGAAUUGCAAUUAUUUCCCUUGAACGAGGAAUUCCCAGUAAGUGUGGGUCAUAAGCUCGCGUUGAUUACGUCCCUGCCCUUUGUACACACCGCCCGUCGCUGCCCGGGACUGAGCCGUUUCGAGA